AUUGAACGCUGGCGGCAGGCCUAACACAUGCAAGUCGAGCGGAUGAAGGGAGCUUGCUCCUGGACUCAGCGGCGGACGGGUGAGUAAUGCCUAGGAAUCUGCCUGGUAGUGGGGGAUAACGUCCGGAAACGGGCGCUAAUACCGCAUACGUCCUGAGGGAGAAAGUGGGGGAUCUUCGGACCUCACGCUAUCAGAUGAGCCUAGGUCGGAUUAGCUAGUUGGUGGGGUAAAGGCCUACCAAGGCGACGAUCCGUAACUGGUCUGAGAGGAUGAUCAGUCACACUGGAACUGAGACACGGUCCAGACUCCUACGGGAGGCAGCAGUGGGGAAUAUUGGACAAAGGGCGAAAGCCUGAUCCAGCCAUGCCGCGUGUGUGAAGAAGGUCUUCGGAUUGUAAAGCACUUUAAGUUGGGAGGAAGGGCAGUAAGUUAAUACCUUGCUGUCUUGACGUUACCAACAGAAUAAGCACCGGCUAACUUCGUG
This 484-nucleotide ribosomal RNA is filed under the name uncultured bacterium. Its description in RNAcentral is "partial 16S ribosomal RNA". It matches the Rfam family "Bacterial small subunit ribosomal RNA", at positions 30 to 507 of the family's 1533-position model. The record is from RNAcentral.